CCUACGGGAGGCUGCAGUGGGGAAUAUUGGACAAUGGGGGGAACCCUGAUCCAGCCAUGCCGCGUGUGUGAAGAAGGCCCUCGGGUUGUAAAGCACUUUCAGUGAGGAAGAACGCCUGUUGGUUAAUACCCAUCAGGAAAGACAUCACUCACAGAAGAAGCACCGGCUAACUCCGUGCCAGCAGCCGCGGUAAUACGGAGGGUGCGAGCGUUAAUCGGAAUUACUGGGCGUAAAGCGCGCGUAGGUGGCUUGAUAAGCCGGUUGUGAAAGCCCCGGGCUCAACCUGGGAACGGCAUCCGGAACUGUCAAGCUAGAGUGCAAGAGAGGAAGGUAGAAUUCCCGGUGUAGCGGUGAAAUGCGUAGAGAUCGGGAGGAAUACCAGUGGCGAAGGCGGCCUUCUGGACUGACACUGACACUGAGGUGCGAAAGCGUGGGUAGCAAACAGGAUUAGAUACCCUAGUAGUC
RNAcentral lists this ribosomal RNA (465 nucleotides) under Vreelandella stevensii. RNAcentral describes it as "partial 16S ribosomal RNA". It matches the Rfam family "Bacterial small subunit ribosomal RNA", at positions 338 to 795 of the family's 1533-position model. The record is from RNAcentral. Lineage: Bacteria; Pseudomonadati; Pseudomonadota; Gammaproteobacteria; Oceanospirillales; Halomonadaceae.